UACGUAGGGACCGAGCGUUGUCCGGAUUCAUUGGGCGUAAAGGGUGCGUAGGCGGCGCGGUAAGUCGGGUGUGAAAUCUUGGAGCUUAACUCCGAAACUGCAUUCGAUACUGCCGUGCUUGAGGACUGGAGAGGAGACUGGAAUUUACGGUGUAGCGGUGAAAUGCGUAGAUAUCGUAAGGAAGACCAGUGGCGAAGGCGGGUCUCUGGGCCGAAACUGACGCUGAGGAGCGAAAGCGUGGGGAGCAAACAGG
Molecule: ribosomal RNA, 253 nt
Filed under: uncultured bacterium
Lineage: Bacteria
Description: partial 16S ribosomal RNA
Rfam family: Bacterial small subunit ribosomal RNA
Source: RNAcentral